RNAcentral lists this ribosomal RNA (421 nucleotides) under uncultured Methanomicrobiales archaeon. Its description in RNAcentral is "bacterial SSU rRNA". It matches the Rfam family "Archaeal small subunit ribosomal RNA", at positions 1 to 430 of the family's 1478-position model. Lineage: Archaea; Methanobacteriati; Methanobacteriota; Methanomicrobia; Methanomicrobiales. The record is from RNAcentral.
UUCCGGUUGAUCCUGCCAGAGGCUAUUGCUAUCAGGGUUUGACUAAGCCAUGCGAGUCGAGAGGUGAAAGACCUCGGCAUACUGCUCAGUAACACGUGGAUAAUCUGCCCUCAGAUGAGGAAUAAUCCCGGGAAACUGGGGCUAAUGCCUCAUAGGAGACGGGUGCUGGAAUGCUCUGGCUCUGAAAGGUCCGCCGUCUGAGGAUGAGUCUGCGUCCGAUUAGGUUGUUGUUGGGGUAACGGCCCACCAAGCCAUUGAUCGGUACGGGUUGUGGGAGCAAGAGCCCGGAGAUGGAUUUUGAGACAUGAAUCCAGGCCCUACGGGGCGCAGCAGGCGCGAAAGCUUUACAAUGCGAGCAAUCGUGAUAAGGAAACCCUGAGUGCCUGUCAAUGCAGGCUGUUUUGGUGUUUAUUCUCGCACC